UUGUUGGUAAAAGUCAUAUGCGAGUAGGCGUCAACUAUCAUGAAUUCACACCUGAGAAGACAAAGGCCUGCAUAAUGAGCUGCAUAAUGAGCCAUUCAGUCAGCUGUGUCACUGAGAGGGAUGAGGUACAAGAAAGAAUGUGAGGACAAAAUAAAUGUAUAUAAUUUUAUGUUUGUAGUUUAUUUAGAAUAUAUUUAAUUAUCCCACAACAUAAUUUAAUAUUCACUUGUGAGUACAGUUAAACAGUUUAUUAGGAACAUUCAAAGCUGACUUUCAAACUGAAUUUUCUGCAUCAUUACUCCAGUCACACAAUCCUUCAGAAAUCCUUUUAACAAUCUUAUUUUCUACAAAAAAAAACAUUUAUUGUUAUUAUUAUCAUUAUUAUUAUUAUUAUUAUUAAUGUUGAAAAGAGCUGAGAAUAUUUUUUUCAGGUUUUUUAGGGGGGGUAAAUUGAAAGAACAGCAUUGUUUAUUACAUUUGUUACAGUUACAUUUAUUGGUACAUUUAUAUUAUUUACAUCAAGCUUUUGAAUGGUAUAGUAGUGUAUAUUGUUAUUGAAACUUCAUAAUAUUUCACUUGAUUAUACAUUUAGUCAGGAAUUAUAGUUUGGAAAAAGUCUUUGGAAAAAGUCUAACUAGUAAAAUGUUUACACGUUAUGUGAAAACUAGUACAAGUAUAUAAAUAAAUAAGAGACUUACUCAUGUUUAUGAUCUCUGCUGGAUAAAGUGCUUCAUUUUUUUUUUGAGGAAAUCCAAAUCUCAAAUCCUCAACCACAUCACAUCUUUUUGGGGUGAAUUAUGUCUUAAUCAGGCGGCCAGUCGAUGAAUUUAAGUUUUAGUCACUUCCUUGUUGUCCUCAUGAGAGAGAGGUUGCCGCUCGGCGCGGACACAGCCUCUGUGUUGCCAGAUCCAUCUGUUAUAAGCAUUUCUGGACUUGUCUUUUCCAUUUUUUGACACUUUAGAAAGUUAAUAAAGAAAGUCAUUGCAGUUAAAGGUCAACAAUAUCUUUAUCUUACCUUAAUUGCAAAAGAUUUUAAAUAAUUUCAUUUUAUUUUUAUUUAUUUAUCGUUUUUGUUUGUUUUAAUAGCAAUAAAUGGCAAAACUGCACCAAUGAUUCGGCUGUGCAGGUCCGGCUGGCCUAGAACAUGGGCUGGUAUAUGUUAUGCAAACGUUGGGUGCGUAAACAUUAAUGAUCCCGACUGUAACAUCACAGUUGGUGUUAUGUUGGGAUUCGGCUUUUUUUCAGUUGUCUCUUGCAUGCACAAGAUUUACAUAAGGAGGAGGAAACAAUGGUGUUUGAGGCUCACAGUAUGUCAUUUCCAUGUACAGAACUCUUAUUAUUCAACUAUGCCAAGGUAAUUCCAUUUCCCUUUCGAACGUUUACUUCACGUUGUGUGAAUGGGAAAACUUCUGUUUUAAACUGUACUGAAGCUUGAUUUGUUCACGUUUGUGUAGCUGCACAAACCAACAGCGCUUUAGCCCGCCAUAAGGGGCAGAGCUGACCUGUAUAUAAGUCGUCUCGCAGCACCAUUCAUCAGAUUAUUCUCCUUUAGCGAUGAGGGUCAUCUCUUAGCUGUCUCUGGAAGAAGCCAAGAAGCCGAGGAAGAAGAAGCUCCAGCUCUGCUCGCCACCAUCGAAUACGCCUGAAGCAGCUAGGAUUCACUGCGGCCAUCUGGCGCUUUAAGAGCAAGCAAGAGCGAUUCCUAAAGACCAAAUUUCUUGCAUGAGACGGACGGGCACAGUGAGUGUGUUGUCUGUCUCGGCAGCGCCCACACAGAGGCUGCUCUCACUGAAGGCUCAUGCACCCUUUGCGAGAGUAUGAGUCUUUCACCUUUUCUCUCUCAACCCUCCCAUUUCCUUUCUCUCCUAAGAGAAAGAAACAGUGGGGCAGCAAGUCCUUCUCAGCAGGCUCGAGUGGUGUCACGUUGGCUCAGUGCCCACAUGCCCCGCCUUCCCCUCGUCCUCUCGCCUCGCCGGUGUGUUUCACAUAGGAGGACCAGCGCCCCAAUUCAGUUGAGAGCAGCUUGGUUUCAGUCGACGCAUCUGAAGGGGACGUCAUCAGCAAGGAGGUUAUCGCCGACGACUCCAUGUCCUUGGUGGCGUCUGAUACAGAAGAGUUGGGAGAUUCGGGUGAUGAGCCUGAAGUCCAUACCCCCUCUCAAACUCCGAGGCCGAAGCCGGACGCUGAACUCUUCUGUCUUGUCAAAGGCGGUGGAGGAUCUGGGCCUCGAGUACUCGGCUCCGGAAGAGCCCGCCCACGGUCUGUUGGACAAGGGGUACCUGCCGGGAAGCCACCAACAAUCCUCUCGCCAACGCCCCGCCCCGUUCUUGUCUGCAGUUCAUGACAAGCUCACCAAGACGUGGCGUGCCCCCUACUCGGCCCGAGUAAAUCCCUCUACAGCAGCAGCUCUCACCACCGUUGAUGGCACGGACAACAAGGGAUACAGCAAGCUCCCCCCUCUGGAUUAAGCGGUUGCUGCUCAUCUGUUCCCGCCAUCUACCCUCGCAUUGAAGGCCCAUGCAGCAAAUCCCUCUAAGCCCUGCAGGACCACCUCGGCUUAUGCAGCUUAUGUGGGUCGGCGCUGCAUACAAUGACAUUCUCCAGGUGUUUCAGGCCAAGUGAUCGGCAAGACCAUGGCCAGUUUGGUGUUGCUGGAGUGCCACCUAUGGUUGAACCUCACUGAGAUCAGGGACGCUGAAAAAAUGGCCUUCCUCAACUCACCAGUCUCGCCGAAGGGUCUGUUCGGCCCCGCUGUGGAUGGGUUUGCAGAGAGGUUUUUCGAAGCCACCAGAAGAACCCUGCCAAUCAGCCUGCAAUGCCGGAGCAGCCUCAGCCCCAAAACAAAUCUGAGCCUGGGCUGCAACAGCGCUCCCGGAUGGCAAAACACUUCCACUUUCCAAAAGUGUCAAGGUCCCCGCCCAUGAGUUGUGCUGGACCUCGAGCCGCCUAAGCCGUCCUGAUGCACCAGAGAAGAAGAGGAGGGGCUCUGUUCUCACCUUGGCUGGAACACCCCACACAAACUGCUCGCUUUCAUUCUCCAUCCCUCCGAGCACCUCUGAGCAAUGGAGUUUCCUUUCCAGCGGGUCACGUCCUGCAGGUGCAGUGCGUACCCGAAUGUUUUACCGCUGUGAUAGCAGACCCACAUACAAUAAAGAGCUAAUUUCCUCUUCACUCACUUUCUCACACUCAAGUGAAUGCGAGUUCCCCAUCUAUUCUUGUGAGCUCUCAUUCUAAAAAAUAAACCCUCUUGCCUCCCGUUUCACGGCAGCCAUUCUGGGAGUGGCAAGUUGGGUUUUAAAAACAAUUUGACGAGGUUACUCGCUCCAAUUCGUUCGCAGGCCACCUCGAUUCAGAGGCGUCAUUCAAACUUCUGUUCCAGACAACAAAGCACUCAUUUUCCAACAGGAGGUGCAGACGUUGCUUGCAAAAGGUGCUGUAGAAAUAGUGCCCCCAGCGAACAGUGAGUCAGGCUUUUUCAGCCGCUACUUCCUUGUUCCAAAGAAAGAUGGCGGGCUCAGAUCCAUUCUGGAUCUCAGACGUCUGAACCAUUCACUUAUGCGCCAGUCGUUUAAGAUGUUAACUAUAAAACAGAUCCUCGCACACAUUUGCCCCGAGGACUGGUUUUUGACUGUGGAUCUGAAAGAUGCAUACUUUCACAUCUGUAGACACGGCUCUUUCCCCUCUGAGACAGAUGGGAAUCCAUGUUUUGAACUACCUCAACGAUUGGCUGGUUCUAGCCAGGUCAGAACGGGAGUUGGCUGCUCACAGAGAGCUGUUACUCAGCCACUUGGAGCGCCUUGGGUGGAUCAUCAACACGCACAAGAGUUAGUUGUUACCCAGAUGGCGAGCGGUCUUUCUGGGAAAGAUUUUAGACUCCAUCCAAAUGCGGGCAUGGAUUACGUCGAAACAAUCCCUAACUAUUCAGUGAUUGGUGGCGUCUCUCAAACCGGGGCGACAAGCCCCCUAAAUCUUUUUCAGAGGUUGCUUGGCCUUAUGGCGGCCGCCGCCUCUGUAUUUCCUCUGGGCCUGCUUCACAUGCGGCCCCUUCAGUUUUGGCUCAAAGCCCGCAUUCCACCCCAUGCCUAGCGCCUGGAGCGGUUUACUAUCAGGGUAGACCACAGCUGUAUCAAGGCUGUGGCGCCCUGGAUGACGUCUCACCUGUUCCAAACAGGAAUGAGGUUAGGCAUUACCUCCAGAAGGAAGGUAAUCACGACGGACCCAUCCAACUCGGAUUGGGGCACCCUGUUGGAGGGCAAUCCAGCGUUCGUCUCCUGGUCAGCCCCGGAGCAAUGCCUGCAUAUCAACUGCCAAGAGAUGUUGGCAGUUUACAUAGCCCUGAAAACCUUCCUUCCAUCUUUGAAAGGGUACCACGUCUUGGUCCAGUCGGACAGCAUGACAAUGGUGGCUUAUAUCAAUCACCAAGGUGGUCUCAGGUCACAGCCUCUUUGCAGGAUGGCUCGUCGCCUCCUCUUUUGGGCACAGAAAGAAUUCCGCUCGCUAAUGGAGGUUCAUGUGCCGGGCAGAUUGAACCUUGACGCAGACAUGCUGUCCAGAGGCAAGGUAGAAGUUUCAGAUGUAUGUUUUGAUCACACCUUCUGUUUCCCAUUUCUAUAAGUAUAAAACUUUGAGGUAUAAGUUGCUAUGUGCUUUGUUUAUUUAGAUGAUGGAGAGGAAGGGGAUGCAUCUCAAUAAACUUGUGAGAUGGAACCUAUACGUAGCUGUGCUAAUUUUACUAUAUCUAUAUGCAAGUGUGACUUUUGUGGUUGAGAAAAUGUAUAAUUAUAACUAUGCUUUAGAGGUGUUAUGGAUAUUUUUAUGAGCAGUUGCAUGCUUUACUAAUAGACCCUGCAAUUCUUCCAUUUGUACUUUUGACACUCUGUAUUAAGUGUGAUAAACGUCAUGCACUCGGUCUGUGUAUGAAUAUAGAAGCCUGCCAAAUAAGGAAGACAGGGAAGUUGAUGCAAAUUUUAUGCAAGGCUAUAAAAGGCCAAGGAGAGCUUUGUGCGGGGCCGCACUCCGAUGGUGAAGACUUACUUGCUGUUAUUUUCAUUUUUUAUUACUUAUUUGUUGUUGUCUACUAAUAAAGUGAAGCCAUUACAAAUGGUGAUGCGUUAAAAUUUUAUUAAAAUAAAAGUCUCUGAGUAAUUUAUUUAUGAGUUAAAUAUUAUUCUGGAACUGAAUAUUCCUUUCAAGCCUCAAGAAGUACGAACUCAGCUGAGCAGAUUUGAGUGCUGGGGAGGAUUCCAAGUCUUUUCGUCACAUAUCCAGAUCUCAACGGUAAGGGCAAAUGAUUUGCAGCUGUUGAUGAGAAUAUGGAAUUUGCAUUAAAUGUUAUAUAGAUUUCCCUCAGGAUAAAACAUAACAUCCAUACCCAAAAUACAAAUUUUGAAGCAGUUAUUUUCAUUUAUUGAAAACUUAUAUUUUUAAUAAGUAGCUAGAUAAGAAGGUUUAGGCCAGGCGGCCCGCGGGCCACAUCCGGCCCGUGAGAGAAAAGUGUUUGGCCCGCGCUAAUUUCAAAUAAAGUGGCAUGAAAAUUCAAACGCAGCAUCAGAAAGUGACAUUAACUUACAUCGUGUCUACACUGGACGCGAGCAGCGCGGCGCAACAAAUCCUUUGAACACAAAGUUCAAAUGAUCUGCAAUGCUUUGUCGCGUCCAUUGUAGAUAUACGAUGUGACAGCAAAAACAUGGCAAGUGUUAAGUAAAGAAAAGUGGACACUGAAAAUAGAUGAUUCAAAUGUGAAUGGACUGAACAGUUUUAAGUGAGUGAGUGAGUGAUACCAUCUCUAUGGAUGCUGGUUAGCAGUGAGUUCAGUUGUAACGUAAGUUUGCUUUAGCAUAAUUCAUUUUCAAGAUCUGAGGUAAAAUAUCUAUUGUUGCUUUGCUUACACUAUGGCUAUAAAGAUCACUAAUAUUCAAACUCACAUUAGACACUUUUAACACUGAAUAAAUCACAUAAUCAUUACCUGAGAUUAUCACUGUCAUUUUUUUGUAUGUUGUUCCUGCCGCGAUGUCGCAGAAAAUAAAAAGCAUUUCUAAAAUAGAAUUCCGUGUCGCUUAUUGUCACGUGUCGCUGUUGCGGUUGGUAAGGACAAAAACUACAUGGAAAUACUUUUUAUCGCGUCACGUCUGUUUGGGACACACAGUGUUACAGUUUGAUCCCCAAAAAAAUCUAAGUAUAAAAAUAUUAAUGCUGACAGAUUUAAUAAUUGAAUCUGCAAUUAGGGAAAGUGGAGAGAAGAGAUCCAGUCUGGAGAUGAGCAGGAACAGUUGAUUUGCAUGGCAGACAUGGAGAUCCAGAUUUUUUGGUUUGUUCAUAUGUUUUUAAUAUUCAACAGGCAAAGUUCUUCUGUAUCUAAAUGCAAAAAUGUUCAUAAUUGUUUGAAUAAAACAGACUACAGGGGGGAAAAUCUGAAUAUUUAUCUUGUGACCAUCUUUUGAUUAUUUUAACAAAAGCAACAAUAAUAUAAUAAUUGUAAUAAUUAUAUAUAUAUGUAUAUGUAGGUCAGUGGCCGUUGGCUUGGUAUCGUUGGCAGAAUUCGGCCCUCGGUGAAAACUAAUUGAGGGGCCCUGGUUUAGGCUGUGGGUGUGUGCAGUUUACAUUGUAGAAAAAAACUUAGAAGUAUCGUCAAGUUAUGUUUACCACAGGCUUUAUUUUAUUCAUGAAUUGAAAAAUCCCAUAAGAAAAUCUCAAAGGAACCAGCGGCUAAUUACACUUCCUAGUUCUGACAUCAUAGUUCCCCCACUCUAUUUCAGAUCUAUUAAUCUAUUAACUUAAUACUUACAUUUCAUGUCCUGAAGAACAGUUCUCCUCCAGACGUACACUGGAAGACCACGAAGGGCUCGUUUUGAUGUUGACAUCAUGUAAACAAAAAAAUAAACAUGUUAAACAAGCAGGCCAACUUUAUUUUAUAUACAAUGAAGAAAAUGAUGGAGGUAGUUCAGACAGGAACCACAUUGGCAAGUUUACUUGAGUUUAUUGAACACAAUUUAUCUUUGGCGGUAUGGUUCCUUAUGGGGGUUCUUACUCCCAGAAUAAUUGACAUACAAGAGCUUUAACAUUAACCCCCCGGAACCAUGAAUUUAGAAAUACAUAACAAUUAAGUCUUUAAAGCAAACAGUGAUAAUCAUGUGGAUGUGCAAGUGAUAUGUUUAUCCUGUAGCCUGGUUAUGAAGAUGGGUGUCUCGCAGCGGUGAGGUCCAUACCAGCUAAGAUUUGGAAGCCUUAGUGAUCUGAAACAAAGAAGACGACAGCCAGAAGGUGCACAGUAAUGUGCUCAUGCUUAUAAUGGGGAGGGAGGGAGGGUUGCGAGCCAUUUGAGCCUACUUACCGAGCCAUAGUGCCACGUAUAUAUAUGUCCCGUAUCUAAUAGGAGAGAGGUGGUGAUUGGAGCGAUUUGACAGCUGACCGCAUCAGCUGUUCACAGCCUUGCCUCCAUGGCCUGACUGAACUAACGCUGCGCUCGAUUUAGUGUUUGUGUAUUUGCACUCACCUGAAGAUCAAACAUUUAGAAUGUCAUGCAACAUCUUUCUCUGAUAUGGUGAAACUCAGCACAAACAUAGAAAACCAUAAACACACACAAUAAGUGAAUAACCAACAAUGGAUGUAGAAAAGUAAAAGCAGAGUCUGUAUCCUGUUAUGUGAGGACACAUCACACAACUUGCUCUUUAAGGCUCACUCUUUCAAUUCAGCAUCCAGCUCAGCCUGCAAUUAAAGAAAGUUUGUAAAGGUUUACUACAAGUUUGUAGAUUGCUUUUGUAUAUUUAAUAUAUUGCAAAAUUCCCGUCUGUGUAUUAGCUUUAACCUAAUUUUGGAUUAAUACUCUUAGCAGCUAGUUGUUUAAAUACAGACCAAAUAAAAAUCACAUUUACCAGGACAUUUCCCAAAAAAGCAUUGUAUAGCUAAGAUGAUGGGGCAGCUGUGGCCUUAUGGUUAGAGAAUUGGACUUGUAACCAGAAGGUCGCAGGUUCGAGUCUCGGUGCUGGCAGGAGUUGUAGGUGGGAGGGAGUUAAUGAACAGCGCUCUCUUCCACCCUCAAUACCCAUGGCUGAAGUGUCCUUGAGCAAGGCACUGAACCCCCAGUUGCUCCCCGGGCGCUGGAUAUAGCUGCCCACUUUCAUGAUCGUUGAAACAUUUGCCACCAAAUGGUUUCAACAAUCGACUUAGCUCAUGAUGCUUUUGAGAACCGCAGCCCUAACCAUCACAGUUAACAUAGUACCCCUAGCGAACAGUGAGUCAGGCUUUUUUAGCCGCUACUUCCUCGUUCCAAAGAAAGAUGGCGGGCUCAGACCCAUUCUGGAUCUCAGACGUCUGAACCAUUCACUUAUGCGCUGGUCGUUCAAGAUGUUAACUAUAAAACAGAUCCUUGCGCACAUUUGCCCCAAGGACUGGUUUUUGAAUGUGGAUCUGAAAGAUGCAUACUUUCACAUCUGUAGACGUGGCUGUUUCCCCUCUGAGACAGAUGGGAAUCCAUGUUUUGAACUACCUUAACGAUUGGCUGGUUCUAGCCAGGUCAGAAUGGGAGUUGGCUGCUCACAGAGAGCUGUUACUCAGCCACUUGGAGCGCCUUGGGCGGAUCAUCAACUUGCACAAGAGUUAGAUGUUACCCAGAUGGCAAGCGGUCUUUCUGGGAAAGAUUUUAGACUCCACCCAAAUGCGGGCAUGGAUUAUGUCGAAACAAUCCCUGACUAUUAAGCGAUUGGCGGCAUCUCUCAAACCAGGGCGACAAGCCCCCUAAAUGUUUUUCAGAGGUUGCUUGGCCUUAUGGUGGCCGAUGCCUCUGUAAUUUUUUUUGGGUCUGCUUCACAUGUUGCCCCUUCAGUUUUGGCUCAAAGCCCACAUUCCACCCCACGCCUAGCACCUGGGGCAGUUUCCUGUCAGGGUAGACCACAGCUGUAUCAAGGCUGUGGCGCCCUGGAUGACCUCUCACCUGUUCCAAACAGGAAUGAGGUUAGGCAUGACCUCCAGAAGGAAGGUAGUCACGACGGACCCAUCCAACUCAGGUUGGGGCACCCUGUUGGAUGGCAAUCUGGCGAUCGUCUCCUGGUCAGCCCCGGAGCAAUGCCUGCAUAUCUACUGCCUAGAGAUGUUGGCAGUUUUAUAAGCCCUGAAAACCUUCCUUCCAUCCUUGAAAAGGCACAGCGUCUUGGUCCAGUUGGACAGCAUGACGGUGGUGGCUUAUAUCAAUCACCAAGGCGGUCUCAGGUCACACCCUCUUUGCAGGAUGGCUCUUCGCCUCCUCUUUUGGGCACAGAAAGAAUUCCGCUCGCUAAGGGUGGUUCAUGUGCCGGGCAGAUUGAACCUUGACGCAGACAUGCUAUCCAGGGGCAAGGUAGAAGUUUCAGAUGUAUGUUUUGAUCACACCUUCUGUUUCCCAUUUCUAUAAGUAUACAUCUUUAAGGUUUAAGUUGCUAUGUGCUUUGUUUAUUUGGAUGAUGGAGAGGAAGGGGAUGCAUCUCAACAAACUUGUGAGAUGGAACCUAUACGUAGCUGUGCAAAUUUUACUAUAUCUAUAUACAAGUGUGACUUUUGUGGUUGAGAAAAUGUAUAAUUAUAACUAUGCUUUAGAGGUGUUAUGGAUAUUUUUAUGAGCAGUUGCAUGCUUUACUAAUAGACCCUGCAAUUCUUCCAUUUGUACUUUUGACACUCUGUAUUAAGUGUGAUAAACGUCAUGCACUCGGUCUGUGUAUGAAUAUAGGAGACUGCCAAAUAAGGAAGGCAGGGAAGUUGAUGCAAAUUUUAUGCAAGGCUAUAAAAGGCCAAGGAGAGCUUUGUGCGGGGCCACACUCCGAUGGUGAAGACUUACUCGCUGUUAUUUUCAUUUUUUAUUACUUAUGAGUUAUUGUCUAAUAAAGCAAAGCCAUUACAAAUGGUGAUGCGUUAAAACUUUAUUAAAAGAAAAGUCUCUGAGUAAUUUAUUUAUGAGUAACAUUAUUCUGGAACUGAAUAUUCCUUUCGAGCCUCAAGAAGUAUGAACUCAGCUGAGUAGAUUUGGGUGCCGGGGAGGAUUCAAAGUCUUUUCGUCACAUAUCCAGAUUCCUCAGAGGAAAGGACAAAUGAUUUGCAG
This is a long non-coding RNA of Cyprinus carpio carpio, 10066 nucleotides long. Lineage: Eukaryota; Metazoa; Chordata; Actinopteri; Cypriniformes; Cyprinidae. The record is from Ensembl.